Molecule: long non-coding RNA, 360 nt
Organism: Zingiber officinale
Lineage: Eukaryota; Viridiplantae; Streptophyta; Magnoliopsida; Zingiberales; Zingiberaceae
Exons: 3
Source: RefSeq, a predicted model, not a curated record
CUAGCACCAAUCUAUCUCUCUGUUUAUCGGCAAGAACACACGGGUCCUGGCUUUGGGCAGCGCCACAGUACCAGUUUUCGGAUAUCGAAUUCUUCUUUCUCUCAUUGAUCUGGAUUGGAGAUUAGGGAUUUCAAUCUGCUGUGGCUGAUCUUGGUUCAGCUGAGGGUUUUAAGGAGGAAGCUGUUAAGGACUUUGACGCGAGACGAGCAUCUUGAUGUCGAGUUUGGACCGGAUACGAUUCUUUCCAUUUGGAGGCGGGAACUUUGACUUAUGUCUUUUGAUAUGCAAGAUAAAGUGUUUAACAUAUAGCAAGAAUUGUGUUUCCAUUUGAUUCGGUUGGUCACUACAUGAUAUGUUACA